AUACGGAGGGGGUUAGCGUUGUUCGGAAUUACUGGGCGUAAAGCGCACGUAGGCGGACUGGAAAGUUGGGGGUGAAAUCCCGGGGCUCAACCCCGGAACUGCCUCCAAAACUUCCAAUCUAGAGAUCGAGAGAGGUGAGUGGAAUUCCAAGUGUAGAGGUGAAAUUCGUAGAUAUUUGGAGGAACACCAGUGGCGAAGGCGGCUCACUGGCUCGAUACUGACGCUGAGGUGCGAAAGCGUGGGGAGCAAACAGGAUUAGAAACCCUUGUAGUCC
This 274-nucleotide ribosomal RNA is filed under the name uncultured bacterium. RNAcentral describes it as "partial 16S ribosomal RNA". It matches the Rfam family "Bacterial small subunit ribosomal RNA", at positions 523 to 796 of the family's 1533-position model. The record is from RNAcentral.